UCCCGUGUGGCUCAGUUGGUAGAGCAUGGUGUUUGCAACGCCAGGGUUGUGGUUCGAUUCCCACGGGGG
Molecule: transfer RNA, 69 nt
Filed under: Salmo salar (Atlantic salmon)
Lineage: Eukaryota; Metazoa; Chordata; Actinopteri; Salmoniformes; Salmonidae
Rfam family: tRNA
About the family: Transfer RNA (tRNA) molecules are approximately 80 nucleotides in length. Their secondary structure includes four short double-helical elements and three loops (D, anti-codon, and T loops).
Source: Rfam by way of RNAcentral